ACUACACUUGCUAUUGGUAAACAGAUGUCAUUGGUUGACUCCCCGUGCUGCUUUGAGCACGAUUGGUUAUUCUGACUGUCAUUCAGGAAACUAGCCAAUUAGAGCUGUUCGCGCCCUUCACUGGUUCAUUUUGAACAUACGCGAUGAAGUGAUGUCUGUCAGUUAGUUUCAGUAGUAUUGAUGGUCCAGUUAUAUGUAAACUGGAGACACGAAGUCGUGUGGAAGUUGCAGGCUGCUGGAGAAUAAUCACACGCAUUAACAGCUUUACCAGCGACCAGCAGAAGUACACAGAAAUAUAUGAUAAGAUUUGCCUGGGCAGUACACACACCUGAUGAAGGGAAGAAAAGCUACCCAGGCCCCCAAAAUCCAUCAGUAGUAAGUGUUUAAACAUUCGACCUGAGUAUUUGUAUUAUGUUAUUAUCAAAUGUGUAAUAUUAUGUAUAUGCUUAAUACUGUAAUAACAUCCACGUACAGUUAAACAUUUACACCAUUUGUGAAAGAAAAAUGGUCUAUUCCUUUAAACUGGUCAUUUGUUUUGCUUAUUUAAUGAUGGAAGUUAUAAGACUUACAUUUAAGUUAGCAUUGCAACUUGUUUUCUAACAGUAUAUUCACAUUGCCGUAAUGUAUAAUGAUGGCAGAUUUAGUCCUUUAUCUAACGUUACUACAUUGCAUAUUUGCCACAGACUCAUUUACUUUUUUGUGGUAUGUUUUUACUUAUGUUAUGAUUUACUUAUUCUGACAGUUUGAUGUUUGUCCAAAUAUACUAUCAAAACUUCCGCCAAUAUCUAUUUAUGACCCUGUGUAAAUGUUUUCAACACCACUUGAAACUGUUUUGUAUUUCUCCAGGAUUAAAAGUUUGUUUUAUAAGAAUUUGAUGAAUGUAUUGUAUGGGGAUGUACUUAUUAUUUACUUUAUUAUAUUCAACCAUUUGUUUAAAGCGUAUACUGUUAUUCUGUACUGUAAAGAAGUUAAUCUUUGUGUAUGCCGAG
Triplophysa rosa is the source of this 989-nucleotide long non-coding RNA. RefSeq lists it as uncharacterized. The transcript has 3 exons. NCBI's taxonomy places the organism in Eukaryota, Metazoa, Chordata, Actinopteri, Cypriniformes, Nemacheilidae. The record is from RefSeq and is a predicted model, not a curated record.